AAACUUGAGAGUUUGAUCAUGGCUCAGAACGUACGCUGGCGGCACGCCUAACACAUGCAAGUCGAACGAAGUAGCAAUACUUAGUGGCAGACGGGUGAGUAACAUGUAGGUAUCUGCCCUUUGGCCUGGAAUAACACGAGGAAACUUGUGCUAAUACCGGAUAAGUCUUUACGGAGAAAGCUUUAUGCACCAUUGGAUGAGCCUGCACUUGAUUAGUUUGUUGGUGGGGUAAUGGCCUACCAAGACUGUGAUCAAUAGCUGAUUUGAGAGGAUGAUCAGCCACAUUGGGACUGAGACACGGCCCAAACUCCUACGGGAGGCAGCAGUGGGGAAUCUUGCACAAUGGAGGAAACUCUGAUGCAGCGAUGCCGCGUGAGUGAAGAAGGCCCUUGGGUUGUAAAGCUCUUUCGUCGGGGAAGAAAAUGACUGUACCCGAAUAAGAAGGUCCGGCUAACUUCGUGCCAGCAGCCGCGGUAAUACGAAGGGACCUAGCGUAGUUCGGAAUUACUGGGCUUAAAGAGUUCGUAGGUGGUUGAAAAAGUUAGUGGUGAAAUCCCAGAGCUUAACUCUGGAACUGCCAUUAAAACUUUUCAGCUAGAGUAUGAUAGAGGAAAGCAGAAUUUCUAGUGUAGAGGUGAAAUUCGUAGAUAUUAGAAAGAAUACCAAUUGCGAAGGCAGCUUUCUGGAUCAUUACUGACACUGAGGAACGAAAGCAUGGGUAGCGAAGAGGAUUAGAUACCCUCGUAGUCCAUGCCGUAAACGAUGUGUGUUAGACGUUGGAAAUUUAUUUUCAGUGUCGCAGGGAAACCGAUAAACACACCGCCUGGGGAGUACGACCGCAAGGUUAAAACUCAAAUGAAUUGACGGGGACCCGCACAAGUAGUGGAGCAUGUGGUUUAAUUCGAAGAUACGCGCAGAACCUUACCAACACUUGACAUGUUCGUCGCGACUCUAAGAGAUUAGAGUUUUCGGUUCGGCCGGACGAAACACAGGUGCUGCAUGGCUGUCGUCAGCUCGUGUCGUGAGAUGUUGGGUUAAGUCCCGCAACGAGCGCAACCCUCACUUUUAGUUGCCAUCAUUAAGUUGGGCACUCUGAAAGAACUGCCAGUGAUAAGCUGGAGGAAGGUGGGGAUGACGUCAAGUCCUCAUGGCCCUUACGUGUUGGGCUACACACGUGCUACAAUGGUAUCUACAACAGGAAGCAAAACUGCGAAGUUAAGCAAAUCCCUAAAAGAUACCUCAGUUCGGAUUGCACUCUGCAACUCGAGUGCAUGAAGCUGGAAUUACUAGUAAUCGUGGAUCAGCGUGCCACGGUGAAUGCGUUCCCGGGUCUUGUACACACCGCCCGUCACACCAUGGGAGUUGGUUCUACCUUAAGGCAAGGUUUCAAACCCUUGACCACGGUAUAGUCAGCGACUGGGGUGAAGUCGUAACAAGGUAGCCGUAGGGGAACCUGCGGCUGGAUUACCUCCUUU
This 1475-nucleotide ribosomal RNA is filed under the name Candidatus Pelagibacter sp. RNAcentral's name for it is "bacterial SSU rRNA". It matches the Rfam family "Bacterial small subunit ribosomal RNA". Lineage: Bacteria; Pseudomonadati; Pseudomonadota; Alphaproteobacteria; Candidatus Pelagibacterales; Candidatus Pelagibacteraceae. The record is from RNAcentral.